Molecule: long non-coding RNA, 443 nt
Filed under: Populus tremula
Lineage: Eukaryota; Viridiplantae; Streptophyta; Magnoliopsida; Malpighiales; Salicaceae
Description: long non-coding RNA (PTRE_LNC002471)
Source: RNAcentral
UUUUGCCCCUCUAACAUGAUGUCUGGGAAGUCAUGCUCUUUCUCCGUUCAUUUAUUGGAUAUCUUUUGGUGGUGGAGAAGGAAAACUGGUUGUUAUUUCUCUUUCAAAAUUUUAUUUAGUGGUUAGGAAAGGAAAUGGAUAUAUGAUGUUCGAGAGCCUGUAGUUCAGAUUGUAAAGCGACAGCCUGUAGUUCAGAUUGUAAAAUAUGUCAUACCACUAGUUUGGAUCAACCCAAUGCAUCCCGUCAGAAGCCUUGUCUUAACGUUAGAGGUAUCUUCCUUAACUGGGAAGUUAUACAUCUCUACUUUGCUGUGAAUUCCUUCAACACCACUUCAAACAUUUUUGUUUUCUAUUGAACAACCAUAUGCAAGUUGAUUAUUUUCACUUUUACCUUUCCUUCGCCAGCAAACCAGGGAUAAAUUUAACGUUGGUGUUGUUUUUGG